AGAGUUUGAUCCUGGCUCAGGACGAACGCUGGCGGCGUGCCUAACACAUGCAAGUCGAACGGAGAAUUUCAAUAAGUUUACUUGGCGAAAUUUUUAGUGGCGGACGGGUGAGUAACGCGUGGGUAACCUACCCAUAAAGCCGGGACAACCCUUGGAAACGAGGGCUAAUACCGGAUACCCUUAUAGAGUGGCAUCACUGUAUAAGAAAAGGUGGCCUCUGAAGAUGCUACCGAUUAUGGAUGGACCCGCGUCUGAUUAGCUAGUUGGUGGGGUAAAGGCCUACCAAGGCGACGAUCAGUAGCCGGCCUGAGAGGGUGAACGGCCACACUGGGACUGGGACACGGCCCAGACUCCUACGGGAGGCAGCAGUGGGGAAUCUUCCGCAAUGGACGAAAGUCU
This 399-nucleotide ribosomal RNA is filed under the name uncultured bacterium. Its description in RNAcentral is "bacterial SSU rRNA". It matches the Rfam family "Bacterial small subunit ribosomal RNA", at positions 8 to 384 of the family's 1533-position model. The record is from RNAcentral.